Molecule: ribosomal RNA, 467 nt
Filed under: Etisus dentatus
Lineage: Eukaryota; Metazoa; Arthropoda; Malacostraca; Decapoda; Xanthidae
Description: partial 16S ribosomal RNA
Rfam family: Bacterial large subunit ribosomal RNA (bases 328-467)
Source: RNAcentral
GUGCAAAGGUAGCAUAAUCAUUAGAGGUUUAAUUGGAAUCUGGAAUGAAGGGUUGGACAAAGGAACAACUAUCUUAAAUUAUAUAAGUUGAAAUUUACUUUUAAGUGAAAAGGCUUAAAUAUUUUAGGGGGACGAUAAGACCCUAUAAAGCUUUAUAGAUAAUUUAAAUUUAGUUGAAUUAAAUUAUAAAAAUUAAAUUUAAUUAUUCUAUUUUGUUGGGGUGAUAUGAGUAUAAGUAUUGUUAACUGCUUAAUAGUAAUUCUAUCAUAGUAGCAUUAAUAAAUUGAAUGAUCCUUUUUAAAGAUUAAAAGACUAAGUUACUUUAGGGAUAACAGCGUUAUUUUUCUUGAGAGUUCAUAUCGAAAGAAAAGAUUGCGACCUCGAUGUUGAAUUAAAAUAUCUAUAUAAUGCAGCAGUUAUAUAAGAGGGUCUGUUCGACCUUUAAAUUUUUACAUGAUUUGAGUUCA